Molecule: unclassified non-coding RNA, 359 nt
Filed under: soil metagenome
Description: partial contains 5.8S ribosomal RNA, internal transcribed spacer 2, and large subunit ribosomal RNA
Rfam family: 5.8S ribosomal RNA (bases 1-120)
Source: RNAcentral
GAUGAAGAACGCAGCGAAAUGCGAUAAGUAAUGUGAAUUGCAGAAUUCCGUGAAUCAUCGAAUCUUUGAACGCAUAUUGCGCCCUCUGGUAUUCCGGGGGGCAUGCCUGUCCGAGCGUCAUUACUACCUUCAAGCACGGCUUGGCUGUUGAGUGUUCUGUUCGCGGAUGAACAGGGCUCGAAAUGCAGUGGCGAUGUCGAGAUGGUGCCCGAGUGUAUGGGGCUCUGUCACACACUCUGGUGGCUCCAGCUUGCAUUCUGCCUAACUGGGUAUAAUAUCUAUUUGUACCAAAUCAAUCUGAUUGACCUCGGAUCAGGUAGGAAAACCCGCUGAACUUAAGCAUAUCAAUAAGCGGAGGA